AGUGAACGCUGGCGGUAGGCCUAACACAUGCAAGUCGAACGGCAGCACAGUAAGAGCUUGCUCUUACGGGUGGCGAGUGGCGGACGGGUGAGGAAUACAUCGGAAUCUACUUUUUCGUGGGGGAUAACGUAGGGAAACUUACGCUAAUACCGCAUACGUCCUACGGGUGAAAGCAGGGGAUCUUCGGACCUUGCGCGAUUGAAUGAGCCGAUGUCGGAUUAGCUAGUUGGCGAGGUAAAGGCCCACCAAGGCGACGAUCCGUAGCUGAUCUGAGAGGAUGAUCAGCCACACUGGAACUGAGACACGGUCCAGACUCCUACGGGAGGCAGCAGUGGGGAAUAUUCGACAAUGGGCGCAAGCCUGAUCCAGCCAUACCGCGUGAGUGAAGAAGGCCUUCGGGUUGUAAAGCCCUUUUGUUGGGAAAGAAAAGCAGCAGGAUAAUACCCCGCUGUUCUGACGGUACCCAAAGAAUAAGCACCGGCUAACUUCGUG
RNAcentral lists this ribosomal RNA (492 nucleotides) under uncultured bacterium. Its description in RNAcentral is "partial 16S ribosomal RNA". It matches the Rfam family "Bacterial small subunit ribosomal RNA", at positions 29 to 507 of the family's 1533-position model. The record is from RNAcentral.